Long non-coding RNA from Dreissena polymorpha, 884 nucleotides. RefSeq lists it as uncharacterized. The transcript is spliced from 4 exons. The record is from RefSeq and is a predicted model, not a curated record. Lineage: Eukaryota; Metazoa; Mollusca; Bivalvia; Myida; Dreissenidae.
AUGUCCCCCACUAUAGUAGUGGGGGACAUAUUGUUUUUGCCCUGUCUGUCUGUUGGUCUGUCUGUCUGUUUGCGCCAACUUUAACAUUUUGCAAUAACUUUUGCUAUAUUGAAGAUAGCAACUUGAUAUUUGGCAUGCAUGUGUAUCUCAUGAAGCUGCACAUUUUGAGUGGUGAAAGGUCAAGGUCAAGGUCAUCCUUCAAGGUCAGAGGUCAAAUAUAUGUGGCCAAAAUCGCUCAUUUUAUGAAUACUUUUGCAAUAUUGAAGAUAGCAACUUGAUAUUUGGCAUGCAUGUGUAUCUCAUGGAGCUGCACAUUUUGAGUGGUGAAAGGUCAAGGUCAUCCUUCAAGGUCAGAGGUCAAUUAUAUGUGGCCAAAAUCGCUCAUUUUAUGAAUACUUUUGCAAUAUUGAAGAUAGCAACUUGAUAUUUGGCAUGCAUGUGCAUCUCAUGGAGCUGCUCAUUUUGAGUGGUGAAAGGUCAAGGUCAAGGUCAUCCUUCAAGGUCAGAGGUCAAAUAUAUGUGGCCAAAAUCGCUCAUUUUAUGAAUACUUUUGCAAUAUUGAAGAUAGCAACUUGAUAUUUGGCAUGCAUGUGUAUCUCAUGGAGCUGCACAUUUUUAGUGGUGAAAGGUCAAGGUCAAGGUCAUCCUUCAAGGUCAGAGGUCAAAUAUAUGUGGCCCAAAUCGCUUAUUUUAUAAAUACUUUUGCAAAAUUGAAGAUAGCAACUUGAUAUUUGGCAUGGAUGUGCAUCUCAUGGAGCUGCACAUUUUGAGUGGUGAAAGGUCAAGGUCAAGGUCAUCCUUCAAGGUCAGAGCUCAAAUAUAUGUGGCCGAAAUCGCUUAUUUUAUGAAUACUUUUGCAAUAUUGAAGAUAGCAACUUCAUAUU